CCUCCCCUCCCUCCUCCCGAGAUCCCAUCCAUGGCCGCCUCCCGCCCCCGGAUCUGGCCCUGAGGCCGCCAUUGCUGGAUCCGCCUCCCCCCCUCCGCGCCGUCGCGCUCCCGGCUCCUCCGCGNNNNNNNNNNNNNNNNNCGGCCUGUCCUUCCCCCCCUUUUUUGGCGGUGCGUUCAUCCGUUGGUUCUUGAUCCGUCGCAUUUGCGCCGGUGAGCUGCCCGAGAGCAAGGAAUUCACCCUGAGAUCUCCGGUCGCUGUUGCCGUGGAAGUCCCCCCUCUCUCUGCCAUUGCAAUCUCCUGUUGCUGUCGCAAGGUGCGUCUUUUACAUAUAAUUUCUGCGAGGAAUUUCGCGGCCGGUUCUCGGGAGGACGGAUUCCUCGCAAUGGUUCUUUGAUUGGGGGAGAAUUUGAUGUGGUGUUGGUGCCGCCGUAUUCUGCCGCCAUGUGGAAGCAAUUUAUCGGCAAGCUGUCGUGGAAAUCGCUGAAAUCUGGCCCUGGAGGCAACGGCGGAGGGGGCUCGCCCACGGCGAAGUCCAAUCCCAUGUCCCCCAGGGAGAAUGGGGCAUUCGGGAAGCCCCCCGCCUCGCCUAGGUCCCCCUCGGGGGCCGCCGGAGCCGAGGGGAGGUCCAGGGAGGACGCCUUCAUCGAGAAGGUGACCAUUUGCUGCACGGUGUACGACUUCACCGACCGGGGCAAGGACUCGCCGGAGAAGGAGAGGAAGCGGCAGGUCCUUAUGUCCCUCGUCGACUCCAUUGGCGCCGCCGAGGAGCCCCUCACGGAGGCGAUGAUGUCGGCGUGCGUGCGCAUGUUCGCUGUCAACCUCUUCAGGGUCUUCCCGCCCAAGGUCCGAUCAGGCACCACCACGUCGGAGACAGAGGAGGACGAGCCCUUCUUCGACCCCUCUUGGUACCACCUGCAAGUUGUGUAUGAAUUGCUUCUGCGGUUUGUGACCUCGCCAUUUGUUGACCCCAAGGUGGCAAGGAAGUAUGUGGACAGUUCGUUCAUCUCCAAGCUGCUUGACCUGUUUGAUUCCGAUGAUCCCAGAGAGAGGGACUGUUUGAAGACAGUGUUGCACAGGAUAUAUGGAAAAUUCAUGGGAAACCGACCGUUCAUCCGCAAGGCUGUGAGCAACAUCUUCUAUAGGUUCGUCUCCGAGGCCGAUCAUCACAAUGGGAUAUCCGAGCUGUUGGAGGUGUUUGGCAGCGUGAUAAGUGGGUUUGCAAAGCCAUUGAAGGAGGAGCAUAAGUUGUUCCUAUGGAAAGCGUUGAUCCCGCUUCACAAGCCUAAGACAGUGGGUGUAUAUCUGCCGCAGCUGACCUACUGCAUAACACAAUUUAUAGAGAAGGAACCCAAGCUUGCAGGGACUGUGAUUAGGGGUCUGUUGAAGUACUGGCCAGUUACAAAUAGUCAGAAGGAGAUGAUGUUCUUGGGGGAGUUAGAAGAAGUGCUUGAGUUGAUUGACAUGGCUGAGUUUCAGAAGUGCAUGGUGCCAUUAUUCCGGAGGAUUGCGACUUGCCUCAAUAGCUCCCAUUUUCAGGUUGCUGAGAGAGCCUUAUUCUUGUGGAAUAAUGAACAUUUGUUCGAUAUGAUCUCCCAAAACCGUCAAGUGAUUGUACCAAUCGUAUACCCAGCUCUGGAGAGAAAUGCACGUUUGCACUGGAACCAAUCGGUUCUCAACGUUACUAUGAAUGUGAGAAAAAUGUUCUUCGACAUGGACGAGAGAUUGCUCCUGACUUGCCAGAGCAACUUCCAAGCGGACGAAGAGAAGCGAGCCGCAGCGGAGGAGCAUCGAAGGCUCACAUGGGAGCAACUGGAGCGGAAUGCCGACCCUGCAUUCCGACCAGCCAACGCGCCCCCUUCUUCGGCCCCUCCGAGAGUCCCCACCGUGACAUGACACGGGUCCGAAUAUACUCCGCCCCACCUUCCCUUGCUUCCUAGCUAGCUAGAUGAAGUUGCUUGCUUCUCUGGGAUACAGAAGGCGUUUUGUUACCUUUGUAAACCCCCCCACCCUUGCCACAAAGUCUGUAAUUAAUAGUUGUUGAUUCGAAGACAAAUGGAUUCUUGAUUUUUUCCUUUUCUUUUUUGCGGCGAAUUCUCGAGUAAUGGGCAUUGCUUUCUUGGCAAAAUCUUGAUUGAGAUUUACCCC
Molecule: ribosomal RNA, 2148 nt
Filed under: Triticum aestivum (bread wheat)
Lineage: Eukaryota; Viridiplantae; Streptophyta; Magnoliopsida; Poales; Poaceae
Description: partial small subunit ribosomal RNA
Source: RNAcentral